UGCAGUCGAACGCUUUGUCUUUAACUGAUCUGACGAGCUUGCUCUGAUGUGAUUUUAUCUGACAAAGAGUGGCGAACGGGUGAGUAACACGUGGGUAACCUACCUCUUAGCAGGGGAUAACAUUUGGAAACAAGUGCUAAUACCGUAUAAUACCAACAACCGCAUGGUUGUUGGUUGAAAGAUGGUUCUGCUAUCACUAAGAGAUGGACCCGCGGUGCAUUAGCUAGUUGGUAAGGUAACGGCUUACCAAGGCAAUGAUGCAUAGCCGAGUUGAGAGACUGAUCGGCCACAAUGGGACUGAGACACGGCCCAUACUCCUACGGGAGGCAGCAGUAGGGAAUCUUCCACAAUGGGCGCAAGCCUGAUGGAGCAACGCCGCGUGUGUGAUGAAGGGUUUCGGCUCGUAAAACACUGUUAUAAGAGAAGAACGGCACUGAGAGUAACUGUUCAGUGUGUGACGGUAUCUUACCAGAAAGGAACGGCUAAAUACGUGCCAGCAGCCGCGGUAAUACGUAUGUUCCAAGCGUUAUCCGGAUUUAUUGGGCGUAAAGCGAGCGCAGACGGUUAUUUAAGUCUGAAGUGAAAGCCCUCAGCUCAACUGAGGAAUGGCUUUGGAAACUGGAUGACUUGAGUGCAGUAGAGGAAAGUGGAACUCCAUGUGUAGCGGUGAAAUGCGUAGAUAUAUGGAAGAACACCAGU
Molecule: ribosomal RNA, 699 nt
Filed under: Weissella paramesenteroides
Lineage: Bacteria; Bacillati; Bacillota; Bacilli; Lactobacillales; Lactobacillaceae
Description: bacterial SSU rRNA
Rfam family: Bacterial small subunit ribosomal RNA
Source: RNAcentral